Molecule: ribosomal RNA, 256 nt
Filed under: uncultured bacterium
Lineage: Bacteria
Description: partial 16S ribosomal RNA
Rfam family: Bacterial small subunit ribosomal RNA
Source: RNAcentral
UACGUAGGGUGCGAGCGUUGUCCGGAAUUAUUGGGCGUAAAGGGCUCGUAGGCGGUCUGUCGCGUCGGCUGUGAAAUCCCGAGGCUCAACCUCGGGUCUGCAGUCGAUACGGGCAAACUAGAGUAUUGCAGGGGAGACUGGAAUUCCUGGUGUAGCGGUGAAAUGCGCAGAUAUCAGGAGGAACACCGGUGGCGAAGGCGGGUCUCUGGGCAAUAACUGACGCUGAGGAGCGAAAAGCGUGGGGGAGCGAAACAGG